AACCUGAAACUACCCAUCGAUUGGGUCGAUUCUACCCGGAUUUUUAUGUUAUUAGCAACUGUCAAAAUCCGGGUAACCGAUCUCACACCAGAUGAGUAAGGUUUACCCUGAUUGUGGGUAAACGAGUCUUCGCGGAAAUCUCGAUACCCAUUUUUUCUUGUUGUGAGUAGACGUCAAAAUCUGGGUAAAUGAGACUUAACAUUUUUUUCAUAUUGCCCGGGGAGGCGUUUGAUCCGAAAAAUAAGCGGCUGCGAAGGAACUUUGGAUGGAGAAAACAGCAGACUGCUGACUGGCAUUCUGUGUCGCUUACCUGGUUGGAACAAAAUUGGCAAGGUUAGGAGUAGUCGCGGGAGUUGUAGCCCCAUCCGAUGCUGGCUGAACAAAUACACACAUUCUGCAAUGGUCACAGAUCUGACCCGGCUUGGUGUGAAAAUCGGCACAAAGAUUAAUAUAAAGAUAUGGAGGCUGCCAUAUCCAUCCCCAUGCCCAUCGUCGAUGGAGCCGUUGUUGAGCCGUUGUGCCAGCGUUUUGCGAUAAAUUCCAUUAUAUUUGUGCUAGAAUACUAGAGACACAUAAAUAAAUUGAU
Molecule: long non-coding RNA, 586 nt
Organism: Aedes albopictus (Asian tiger mosquito)
Lineage: Eukaryota; Metazoa; Arthropoda; Insecta; Diptera; Culicidae
Exons: 3
Source: RefSeq, a predicted model, not a curated record